GCAUGCAUGCAUGCAUGCAUGCAUGCAUGCAUGCAUGCAUGCGUGCGUGCAUGCAUGCAUGCAUGUAUGUAUUAUGUAUGUGCAUGCAUGCAUGCAUGCAUGCAUGCAUGCAUGCAUGAAUGCAUGUAUGCAUACAUGUGUAUGUAUGUAUGUAUGUGUGU
RNAcentral lists this non-coding RNA (161 nucleotides) under unclassified sequences. The record is from RNAcentral.